GAGAGGUUCCCUAGUUGUAAUGAAAGGACCUAAGAAAAAUGGGUUGUACUACUUGAUGGGUGAGACAAUUACUUCACAAGAAGCUAAUCUCCUUAGUGUUACUGAUGACAAAUCUGAAUUGUGGCACAAAAGAAUGGGGCAUAUAGGAAAUAAAUGUUUGAAAUAUUUGAGUGACCAAAAGUUACUUGGUAAAGGUCUUAUUGAACCAGUAAACUUUUGUGAGACUCGCUCGUUUGGAAUGUCUCAUAGGGUGAGUUUUGAGGUGGGUUCACAUAUAGCGAAAGGACCUUUAUAUUAUGUCCAUGCAGAUUUGUGGGGGCCUGAAGAACAUCCCAGCUUUGGUGGAAAUAAGUCCUUUUUGUCCUUAGUAGAUGAUUACUCUAAAGUAUGGGUUUACCCCUUAAAGGCUAAAUCUGAGGCUUUUCAUAAAUUCUGGACUUGGCUUAAAAUUGUGGAAAAUCAAUUGGAUAAGUUAAAAACUCUGAGAACGGAUAAUAGUCUAGAGUUUUGUAACGCGGAAUUUGAUAAUUUUUGUAAGCAAAAGGGAAUCAUGAGACAAAGGACGGUUAAGUAUGC
Molecule: long non-coding RNA, 576 nt
Filed under: Olea europaea subsp. europaea
Lineage: Eukaryota; Viridiplantae; Streptophyta; Magnoliopsida; Lamiales; Oleaceae
Source: RNAcentral